GUAAAUUAAUCAACAAUGAAAUACUUUAAAUAUGAAAUUUGGAGUUUUACCAAGGGAGCUAAUAAUUAAUUAAUGUUAACACUGUCUGCCACACAGCAUUUCGGGGCCUCUCCCUCUGGUAUCUUUCGUCCCUCUUUUAUAGCUGACUAUGCGGGGGCUUUUCUAAUUAUUGGGGGCAUUAUGAUAACAUAUAGUUGUUAAUUUCUGUGUCAUUUAGUCUCUUGGCAAUGAUAAUACAUAUUCUUUAAUAUAUAUAGUGAUGUCGUUAUUACGACAUAGCUAUGUCGUUAAAACGACAUAGUGAUGUCGUAAUAACGACAUGUUAUGUCGAAAUAACGACAUAGCGAUGUCGUAAUAACGACAUGUUAUGUCGAAAUUACGACAUAGCGAUGUCGUAUAAACGACAUGUUAUGUCGAAAUUAC
This 423-nucleotide long non-coding RNA is filed under the name Mytilus galloprovincialis (Mediterranean mussel). The record is from RNAcentral. Lineage: Eukaryota; Metazoa; Mollusca; Bivalvia; Mytilida; Mytilidae.